RNAcentral lists this ribosomal RNA (1711 nucleotides) under Campylobacter hyointestinalis subsp. lawsonii. Its description in RNAcentral is "bacterial LSU rRNA". It matches the Rfam family "Bacterial large subunit ribosomal RNA", at positions 1225 to 2925 of the family's 2925-position model. The record is from RNAcentral. Lineage: Bacteria; Pseudomonadati; Campylobacterota; Epsilonproteobacteria; Campylobacterales; Campylobacteraceae.
GUGGUAGGAGAGCGUUCUAUUCAGCGUUGAAGGUAUACCGGUAAGGAGUGCUGGAGCGGAUAGAAGUGAGCAUGCAGGCAUGAGUAGCGAUAAAAGGGGUGAGAAUCCCCUUCGCCGUAAACCCAAGGUUUCCUACGCGAUGCUCGUCAUCGUAGGGUUAGUCGGGUCCUAAGCAAAGUCCGAAAGGGGUAUGCGAUGGAAAAUCGGUUAAUAUUCCGAUACCAAUAUUAGUGUGCGAUGGAAGGACGCUUAAAGUUAGUGGAGCUAGCGGAUGGAAGUGCUAGUCUAAGGAUGUAGAUUAAGUGGUAGGCAAAUCCGCCACUUUUUAUUCGAGAUCUUAAAGGCUCUCCAAAGUCUUCGGAUAGCGGGGAGAAUCCAUGAUACUAUCGAGCCAAGAAAAGUUUCUAAGUUUAGCUAAUAUUGCCCGUACCGUAAACCGACACAGGUGGGUGGGAUGAGUAUUCUAAGGCGCGUGGAAGAACUCUCUUUAAGGAACUCUGCAAAAUAGCACCGUAUCUUCGGUAUAAGGUGUGCCUAACUUUGUAUUAAGAUUUACUCCCAAAGCAAAGAAGGUUACAACAAAGAGUCCCUCCCGACUGUUUACCAUAAACACAGCACUCUGCUAACUCGUAAGAGGAUGUAUAGGGUGUGACGCCUGCCCGGUGCUCGAAGGUUAAUUGAUGGGGUUAGCAUUAGCGAAGCUCUUGAUCGAAGCCCGAGUAAACGGCGGCCGUAACUAUAACGGUCCUAAGGUAGCGAAAUUCCUUGUCGGUUAAAUACCGACCUGCAUGAAUGGCGUAACGAGAUGGGAGCUGUCUCAAAGAGGGAUCCAGUGAAAUUGUAGUGGAGGUGAAAAUUCCUCCUACCCGCGGCAAGACGGAAAGACCCCGUGGACCUUUACUACAGCUUGACACUGCUAUUUGGAUAAAGAUGCGCAGGAUAGGUGGGAGGCUUUGAUCCAUAGAUUCCGGUUUAUGGUGAGCCAUUGUUGAGAUACCACUCUUCUUUAUUUGAGUAGCUAACUAGCUUGCGUUAUCCGCAAGUAGGACAAUGUCUGGUGGGUAGUUUGACUGGGGCGGUCGCCUCCCAAAAUGUAACGGAGGCUUACAAAGGUUGGCUCAGAACGGUUGGAAAUCGUUCGUAGAGUAUAAAGGCAUAAGCCAGCUUAACUGCGAGACGUACAUGUCAAGCAGAGACGAAAGUCGGUCUUAGUGAUCCGGUGGUUCUGUGUGGAAGGGCCAUCGCUCAAAGGAUAAAAGGUACCCCGGGGAUAACAGGCUGAUCUCCCCCAAGAGCUCACAUCGACGGGGAGGUUUGGCACCUCGAUGUCGGCUCAUCGCAUCCUGGGGCUGGAGCAGGUCCCAAGGGUAUGGCUGUUCGCCAUUUAAAGCGGUACGCGAGCUGGGUUCAGAACGUCGUGAGACAGUUCGGUCCCUAUCUGCCGUGGGCGUAAGAAGAUUGAGGAGAGUUGACCCUAGUACGAGAGGACCGGGUUGAACCAGCCACUGGUGUAUCAGUUGUUCUGCCAAGAGCAUCGCUGAGUAGCUAAGCUGGGAUGUGAUAAGAGCUGAAAGCAUCUAAGCUCGAAGCCAACUCCAAGAUGAAUCUUCUUUUAAGAGCUCUAGUAGACUACUAGUUUGAUAGGCUGGGUGUGUAAGUGAUGAAAGUCAUUUAGCUGACCAGUACUAAUAGCUCGUUUGCUUAUCUUUAU